UGACCGUGCGAAGGUAGCAUAAUCAUUAGUCUUUUAAUUGAAGGCUUGUAUGAAUGGUUGGACGAAAAGCAAUCUGUCUCUGUUGAAAAAAUUGAAUUUAACUUUUAAGUGAGAAGGCUUAAAUAAUCUAGGGGGACGAUAAGACCCUAUAAAGUUUAAUAUUAUAGUUAUAGAAAAUUAAUUAGGUUAUUAAGAUUUAUUAUUGUAAAUAAUAUUUUGUUGGGGCGACAAGAAUAUAAAUAAUUUAACUGUUCUUUUUUGUAUCAAAGAUAUUUGAGUUGAUGAUCUUUUUAAGAGUAUUAGAGUAAAUUACUUUAGGGAUAACAGCGUAAUUUUUUUUGAGAGUUCUUAUCGACAAAAGAGUUUGCGACCUCGAUGUUGAAUUAAAGAUUCUUUAUAAUGCAGAAGUUAUAUGAGAAGGUCUGUUCGACCUUUAAAUCUUUACAUGAUUUGAGUUCAGACCGGUGUGAGCCAGGUUGGUUUCUAUCU
RNAcentral lists this ribosomal RNA (489 nucleotides) under Euastacus diversus. Its description in RNAcentral is "partial 16S ribosomal RNA". It matches the Rfam family "Archaeal large subunit ribosomal RNA", at positions 2020 to 2712 of the family's 2987-position model. Lineage: Eukaryota; Metazoa; Arthropoda; Malacostraca; Decapoda; Parastacidae. The record is from RNAcentral.